UCUUGAAUUACUUUGGAUCAGGAUAACAGUUAAUUCAUGAUUUAGGAAGAUGGGGCAAUUACUUUUUCACAUAGGGCUAGGUUGGUUUGUAUUAGCUUUUUUUCCUUAAAUAAAUGAAAUCAUCAUUUAAAUUUUUUGGGUAUUUUCUCAGAUUAUCUUUGUAAUAAUAUCUCUGAUAUUAAGAUUAGUUUGAUGAUUUGAAACAUCUAAGUGUGACAAAAAAGGAAAUACCAAAGAAAUCUGUAGGGGCCAAAUGCUUUUUCACAGCACUGUAUCAUUAAAAGGUGUAAAAGUCUGCUGAAUCAUAUCAAAUGCCGAUCUUAGUUUGAGAAGUUAAUGUUUGUAGUCACACAAAAUGUCUUCCAAAACAAACAGAACACUACAUUGCACAGUGUCAGUAAGAUGGCAUACGUGUAAACCCCUUUAUCCCACUUUCAUUCUAGGAUAUUUGGUUUGAGGUGGCACUAUAUGUGGCAGACCACUGGCAAGGAUUCCCAACCAGAGUGCAAGUGGGUGGUGAGAGGGUGUAGAAUAGACCUAGUCAACUUGCAACUUGCUAGUGAGCCAACCGCAGCCUUCUAACAUCCUCAUUCCGGCUCUUUGAUCAUUUUGUUACUAGGGUAAUUAGCCCAUUCAUUACUCAGCUCGGUUGCUACGCACAAAAAUGCUCUUAUCUAAUUUAAAAAAAGGUUUCAUACCAGCUUGUUGAAGCAGAGGGAUUUAUGCGAAUCAAAUUGACAGCCUACAUCUAAGAUUAAAAUGGCGCAUUUUCCGCUCUACUUAUGUAUAAUCUGGCCCUUCUAAAAAACAGAAUAGGCCUGGUGUAAGGAGUAGUUUGAGAAAGGCCCUCAAUAUAUAAUAACUGGUAGCAGAAAACAGACCACAAUCCGGUCUACAUCCAGCAUAUCAAUAAAUUGAGACAAGGUUUCAUCAUAGUCCCAGGCAGACAGACCAGACCUCCUCACAUGCUUGGCAGAAUAAGUAAAAGGACCGGGAAAGCCAAAAAGCCCAGGGAGGCCAAUGUGACCCUGGAGGGAUGAAUAAAGGACGGAGUGGAAAAGCAGAUAAGGCAAAGACAGAUGGAAAAGAAAAAGAAGGUGGACAAUGAGACUGGACGGAGAGGACGGACUUUGUCAAGAACAGUUAGGUGCCAGCAAUACAAACACGUGUCUAAAGAUCUCUUGAGCGGUGAUGCUCUGAUCUGUUACAGCACCGCAGGCUGUUCGCUACAGUGGAGUGGGUCUGGAUGAGCCAAGCCUUGAGGCAAGUGUAUAUGCCCAUGGACUGCAUGGUGCUGGCUUCCACGAUGUAGUCCAAGGGCACAUACCCUCACAUCAGGGAUCUCUGAAGUUCUCUCUGGUCAAACCUGCUCAGCAGAAGAGGAGAAAAAAAAACAGCGAGAAGGCUAGAAGCAGAAAUUACAAUUAUGUUUAACAAGAGGCUAAAAUGUUAAUGAAACAUGGUUAUGCUCAUUGCCAGUUUUAUGAUGUUUGGCGAACUUUAACAAGAAAAGCCAAGUAUGAAAAGGAUCUGAAGAGAGCAAGAGUUCAUUGCUCAUACAGUGCUUUAAAUAUACUCACAACACCAGCUGUCAUUAUCAUCAUGUCGUUAACAAGGGGACAUAAGUAGCGUUUAUGACAUUGGUAUUUUUAUGCACCCACAUUGGUUAUGGCAAUUCAUUUAGCAGGCAUUUCACAGGUCGAUAGAUAAAGUUAAAGUUCAAAAGCUUUACUAUACAGUAGAGUCAUGCUUCCCUCCCCUGUGGCCUUCAGAGGAAGCUGAGUGAGGGUGCACAACAUAAAAUACAAGUAAACAGUCAUUCUGAGAGUGCUUGAAACACUUUACAGUGCUAAAUAUACAGUAUUCCCUUACAAGAACAACCUUUUCACUUGCAGAGAUCAAGCAUAUUUCUUUGAAGAGUUUACAUUUAAUAAAACAAAGCAGCAGCUACUCACC
Long non-coding RNA from Acanthopagrus latus (yellowfin seabream), 1956 nucleotides. RefSeq lists it as uncharacterized. NCBI's taxonomy places the organism in Eukaryota, Metazoa, Chordata, Actinopteri, Spariformes, Sparidae. The transcript is spliced from 2 exons. The record is from RefSeq and is a predicted model, not a curated record.